GAACUAUAGUGUGGGAAAUAUCUUAGCAAGUCUCUGUACCUCUCCCACACAUCAUACAUGCUCUCAUCAUCAAACUGCAUAAAAGAAGAAAUAUCAUUAUGCAU
Molecule: small nucleolar RNA, 104 nt
Filed under: Ricinus communis (castor bean)
Lineage: Eukaryota; Viridiplantae; Streptophyta; Magnoliopsida; Malpighiales; Euphorbiaceae
Description: Plant small nucleolar RNA R71
Rfam family: Plant small nucleolar RNA R71
About the family: R71 is a member of the C/D box family of snoRNAs containing the C (UGAUGA) and D (CUGA) box motifs. Multiple nearly identical copies of this snoRNA have been identified in Arabidopsis, and it is thought to function as a 2'-O-ribose methylation guide for 18S ribosomal RNA.
Source: Rfam by way of RNAcentral